This 73-nucleotide transfer RNA is filed under the name Anneissia japonica. RNAcentral's name for it is "tRNA-Thr". It matches the Rfam family "tRNA". Rfam says of the family: Transfer RNA (tRNA) molecules are approximately 80 nucleotides in length. Lineage: Eukaryota; Metazoa; Echinodermata; Crinoidea; Comatulida; Comatulidae. The record is from RNAcentral.
GCCUUCGUGGUCUAGUGGUUAUGACGCUCGCCUUGUCAGCGAGAGGUCGCGGGUUCGAAUCCCGUCGGAGGAA